GCCCGGUUAGCUCAGAUGGUAGAGCAUCAGACUUUUAAUCUGAGGGUCAUGGGUUCGAGCCCCAUAUCGGGCU
Nematostella vectensis (starlet sea anemone) is the source of this 73-nucleotide non-coding RNA. Lineage: Eukaryota; Metazoa; Cnidaria; Anthozoa; Actiniaria; Edwardsiidae. The record is from Rfam.